UGUGCAUACGGGUAUGUGCACCUGCCCGUAGGAUUAGCAAUCUAACUCGCUGUUCGUAAAUCAGUUUAUAUUCGGUUCAAAAUGAGCUCGAUAUCCAUCGCUUAUUUAAUAACGAGCUGAACACGAACGGAAUUUUCCAGCUCGAAAUCUUAACGAGUUGAACACAAGAUCGAUGGGUUCGGUUCGCUCGUGUUCGGCUCAAUAUUAUUAUAUUAACAUUCUUUUUUUUUUUAUUCUUUUUCAACUUUUCAUUCAGAGAUAGAGCAGGCAAUUUAAUUUGCUGUUCGCGAGUCAAACACGAGCGAAAUUUUUGAGCUCGAUAUUUUAAUGAGGCAACUCAUGUUCUGCUCAUCUAAUAAACGAACGAACAAAUGAACACGAGCCAACUCGUGUUCCAACUCGUUUGUUUUCGGCUUGUUCUCAGCCCUACAUACGUGAGAAUGUUCGCGAGUCAAAUACGAGCUGAAUGUUUGAUCUCGAUAUUUUAAUGAGCCAACUCAUGUUCUGCUCAUCUAAUAAAUGAACGAACAAAUGAACACGAGCCAACUCCUGUUCCAACU
This 560-nucleotide long non-coding RNA is filed under the name Ananas comosus (pineapple). RNAcentral describes it as "long non-coding RNA (ACOM_LNC027617)". The record is from RNAcentral. Lineage: Eukaryota; Viridiplantae; Streptophyta; Magnoliopsida; Poales; Bromeliaceae.